This 440-nucleotide ribosomal RNA is filed under the name uncultured bacterium. Its description in RNAcentral is "partial 16S ribosomal RNA". It matches the Rfam family "Bacterial small subunit ribosomal RNA", at positions 338 to 795 of the family's 1533-position model. The record is from RNAcentral.
CCUACGGGAGGCAGCAGUGGGGGAUAUUGCACAAUGGGGGAAACCCUGAUGCAGCGACGCCGCGUGGGUGAAGAAGCGCCUCGGCGCGUAAAGCCCUGUCAGCAGGGAAGAGAAUGACGGUACCUGAAGAAGAAGCCCCGGCUAACUACGUGCCAGCAGCCGCGGUAAUACGUAGGGGGCAAGCGUUAUCCGGAUUUACUGGGUGUAAAGGGGGCGCAGACGGCGAUGCAAGCCAGGAGUGAAAGCCCGGGGCCCAACCCCGGGACUGCUCUUGGAACUGCGUGGCUAGAGUGCACGAGGGGCAGGCGGAAUUCCUGGUGUAGCGGUGAAAUGCGUAGAUAUCAGGAGGAACACCGGUGGCGAAGGCGGCCUGCUGGACUGCAACUGACGUUGAGGCCCGAAAGCGUGGGGAGCAAACAGGAGUAGAUACCCGGGUAGUC